RNAcentral lists this ribosomal RNA (475 nucleotides) under uncultured Desulfovibrio sp. Its description in RNAcentral is "bacterial SSU rRNA". It matches the Rfam family "Bacterial small subunit ribosomal RNA", at positions 916 to 1381 of the family's 1533-position model. The record is from RNAcentral. Lineage: Bacteria; Pseudomonadati; Thermodesulfobacteriota; Desulfovibrionia; Desulfovibrionales; Desulfovibrionaceae.
ACGACGGGGCCCGCACAAGCGGUGGAGUAUGUGGUUUAAUUCGACGCAACGCGCAGAACCUUACCUAGACUUGACAUCCCGGGGAUUUUCUGGAAACAGAGAAGUGCUUUAGCAAUAAAGAACCCGGUGACAGGUGCUGCAUGGCUGUCGUCAGCUCGUGUCGUGAGAUGUUGGGUUAAGUCCCGCAACGAGCGCAACCCUCGCCUUUAGUUGCCAGCAUUCAGUUGGGCACUCUAGAGGGACUGCCGGUGUCAAACCGGAGGAAGGUGGGAUGACGUCAAGUCCUCAUGGCCUUUAUGUCUAGGGCUACACACGUACUACAAUGGCCGGUACAAAGGGCAGCCACUCAGCGAUGAGGCGCUAAUCCCAUAAAGCCGGUCUCAGUCCGGAUCGCAAUCUGCAACUCGACUGCGUGAAGUUGGAAUCGCUAGUAAUCGUAGAUCAGCAUGCUACGGUGAAUACGUUCCCGGGCCUU